AACGCGAAGAACCUUACCAGGGCUUGACAUGACCACCGAUACUCCAGAGAUGGGGUAGCCCUUCGGGGGUGGCCACAGGUGUUGCAUGGCUGUCGUCAGCUCGUGCCGUGAGGUGUUGGGUUAAGUCCCGCAACGAGCGCAACCCUCGUCGCUAGUUAGGCUGUCUAGCGAGACUGCCGGAAGCAAACCGGAGGAAGGCGGGGAUGACGUCAAGUCAGCAUGGCCCUUACGUCCUGGGCUACACACACGCUACAAUGGCCGGUACAACGGGUAGCAAGAACGCGAGUUGGAGCUAAUCCCAGCAAAGCCGGUCUCAGUUCAGAUUGCAGGCUGCAACUCGCCUGCAUGAAGGAGGAGUUGCUAGUAACCGUGGGUCAGCACACCGCGGUGAAUAUGUUCCCGGGCCUUGUACACACCGACAUA
Molecule: ribosomal RNA, 423 nt
Filed under: uncultured bacterium
Lineage: Bacteria
Description: bacterial SSU rRNA
Rfam family: Bacterial small subunit ribosomal RNA
Source: RNAcentral